UACAGAGGUCUCAAGCGUUGUUCGGAUUCAUUGGGCGUAAAGAGCGCGUAGGCGGUGCGUAAAGUCAGGCGUGAAAGCCCCGGGCUUAACCUGGGAAUUGCGCUUGAUACUGACGUGCUAGAGAACGGGAGAGGAUGGCGGAAUUCCCAGUGUAGAGGUGAAAUUCGUAGAUAUUGGGAAGAACACCGGUGGCGAAGGCGGCCAUCUGGACCGUUUCUGACGCUGAGGCGCGAAAGCGUGGGGAGCAAACAGG
This 253-nucleotide ribosomal RNA is filed under the name uncultured bacterium. RNAcentral's name for it is "partial 16S ribosomal RNA". It matches the Rfam family "Bacterial small subunit ribosomal RNA", at positions 524 to 776 of the family's 1533-position model. The record is from RNAcentral.